CAGGUGGUAAACACAUGAUUCUCAUAGUCUCCCUGUAAAAGGCUUGGAGGUGGGCAAUGCCUAAUGACCUGAGUGUUCAGGCCUUCAGCAUUUAUUUACGGCCACUAUGAGUAGGCUGCAAAUCUCUUAAGCCUGCUGCUGGAAUAAAGCCCUGAGGAGCUGGAUGAGGCAUGGGCACACACAUGCAGACAGUCAGCACCAGAGUGAGAAUAUUUAUUACACCCAGUGAAGAGCAAGUAAAAGAAUAAGUCCUCUUUGUGCAGCACCGGCCUCAGUUUGCUGUUUUGUAAGGGAGGAAUCAGGUGAAAGACUCAUCAUGGUUUGUUUCCCACUCCCUGGUGUUCAUCCUGGAGCAUCCGCUGAAGGAGAUACAGACCUUGUGCUAAGUCCAACUGGCUGUCCCUGUCCUCACCAAAGUGAACGGGAUAGCUUUCUGAAAUGUGAAAUGUGUAUGAGUAGGAAGACCUCAUCGCUGAGCCAGGAUCACUGAGUAGUGGCAAAGCUGAAUAAUUAAAGUUCACUUUGGGCAUUGUUGCAAAUAAAACAGAUGUACCUUUGCACUGAAAAUCCACAAUGUUCUCAUCAUUAAAGUAGACUUCAUGGAAAGUGUUUUGCAUUAUUUGUGUCACUUCAGAGGAGUGCUCAAAUUACUGAACCACAAAUAUUCAAUAUCCAGCUUGUGUUAUGAUUGUACACGACAAAACCAAUUUGAGGUGCUGAGAAGCAGCACUGCCUCUUCGCAGCACAUCAACGUGCAGUGCUUCCCAUCCAAUUGGGUUUCCUUGCUGCAGAGCAGGCUCCAUGCAGCCAGGAACAAGUGUUUGUCUGAGUGAGCAGGAGGGGUCCUCUAAUGAUCCGCUUUUUCAGAGUCAU
Molecule: long non-coding RNA, 873 nt
Filed under: Gallus gallus (chicken)
Lineage: Eukaryota; Metazoa; Chordata; Aves; Galliformes; Phasianidae
Description: lncRNA (ENSGALG00010005939.1)
Source: RNAcentral